AAUGAACGUUGGCGGCGUGGAUUAGGCAUGCAAGUCGAGCGAGAACCAGUCUUCGGACUGGGGACAGCGGCGAACGGGGUAGGAAUACCUCGGUGACGUACCCCCCGGUCGGGGAUAGCGGCGGGAAACUGCCGGUAAUACCCGAUGAUCUGCCCAGGUUUUACGACAGGGGCAGCAAAGGUGUGAUUCCGUCGGGGGAGCGGCUGAGGUCGUAUUAGCUGGUUGGUGAGGUAACGGCUCACCAAGGCGAUGAUGCGUAGGGGGUGUGAGAGCAUGGCCCCCACCACUGGCACUGAGACACUGGCCAGACACCUACGGGUGGCUG
RNAcentral lists this ribosomal RNA (325 nucleotides) under uncultured Planctomycetota bacterium. RNAcentral describes it as "bacterial SSU rRNA". It matches the Rfam family "Bacterial small subunit ribosomal RNA", at positions 28 to 351 of the family's 1533-position model. The record is from RNAcentral. Lineage: Bacteria; Pseudomonadati; Planctomycetota.